CACAGCGGCAGUGCGGAAAAGCACUCCAGCUGCCGGGCCCGGGGUCGGGCCCACAUUUCUACCUGUGAGGGGCAGGAGCAUCAAGAAAAGGCUGCGGAAGGCCCCCCGAGGGUAUAAGCUCAUUGCUCCUUCUCCCUGUAGGCACCAGAGCGGGCAUCCCCGCACCUGGCUCUGCGGGGCUUCCCCGAACGGCGAUUCCCCACACAUUCAUCCACACCUACGCGCAUCAGGCCGAGCCCCGCGUCCCAGAGGAGGGCAGCAGGCCCGUCGUCCCACAGCGGGAUGAGGGCGACUUCCUUCCCCCGAGAUUCUUCCUACGCCUCCUCCCCGUCGGAUCCUGAAACGGCGGGCCGCUCUCUCGGCCGUCCUCUCCCUAUCGCACCGGCCCCAGGAACAGCGCCCUUCCAGCCCGGUCUCAGCCCGGCCCGUGCGGGAUCGGCGCCAGGCCUUCGCAUCUCCAGGCAAACAGCAACGCCACUCUCACAGUGCCCUUACCUGCGGCGGCCGGGCCGGGGCCAACGCUACCCCCAGCACCGCUCAGGCUGGGACCCCCCUGCCCUGGGCUACAGCAGACUCAGAUCUCUGCGCUUCCCGCAGGGCUGCAGGGCUCUUGAAGUUUAAGAAGAAAGUUCUUCCUGCAGAAAAGCUGCAUGAGGGAUCUCCAAAGUUGGCCUCCUGGGACGGAGAGGGACAUUUUUGCCAGCAGGCCUAUUGUCCAGCACUGUAUACCAGCAGAGGAUUCUUAAUGCCUCUCACUUCCAUAACUCAGUCAUGCAAAAAUGAAACCUUUCCCAUAUGGUGAGUAAUCAAAGCAGGGCUCUCAGAUGUGACCUUCCAUUGUACAACAUGCUACCAUCCAUAACAGUGGUGUGUAAGUUAA
Centrocercus urophasianus (Greater sage-grouse) is the source of this 880-nucleotide long non-coding RNA. RefSeq lists it as uncharacterized. NCBI's taxonomy places the organism in Eukaryota, Metazoa, Chordata, Aves, Galliformes, Phasianidae. The record is from RefSeq and is a predicted model, not a curated record. The transcript has 3 exons.